This is a long non-coding RNA of Ostrea edulis (European flat oyster), 4677 nucleotides long. RefSeq lists it as uncharacterized. The transcript is spliced from 5 exons. The record is from RefSeq and is a predicted model, not a curated record. Lineage: Eukaryota; Metazoa; Mollusca; Bivalvia; Ostreida; Ostreidae.
AUGGAUGACAUCUACUGACAUGGUCCAAUGGACUGCUACAAAGAGGAUGCCUUCGAAAAACUGCAUGGCCGCAUAAGAGAUCAGCUAUUCAACCAGAAUCUGCAUGCCAGAAGCAGGGACACAGCAUAUGCCUUUGCUGAAAUGGAAGUCCUGCAACAUGUUCUAACUGGGGGAUACUUUCCCUCUGGAGAUACAUGGUUGCAGGCAUCUGAUCUUGUUCAGAAUGCCUCCAGCAGUAAAUCGGUGAAGCAUUUCCUGGGCAUGCCUGUAGCAAAUGAACCAUCCUUUGCCAUCAGUAGGGAUCUGAGAAAAGCAGUUGGCAGACAGAAGGGUUCCUUGUUAUGGGAGUAUGUGGAUUCUGAUUCUGUAGAAUCCCUCUCUGUGCUAUACCAGAAUGAGGUCAACUUCCUUGGGGCAAAAAGGAGCUUAUUUAAUGCAGUAAAGGCUCAUUCAGGGGAGUUAGUGAAUUUUGGGAAUUUUGUACUUUUCACAGAUAAUGACAAUGUGGAAAAUGUUGCAAUGUUUAUCCAGGGAUGGCUAAUUUCAACUGCCUUGGGAGUGCAAGUACAAGUAGCUCAAUACGCCAAUUUGAAAAAAUUCAAGAUUCCAGAUUAUUUUGGGAAAUGAGUUUUGAGAGGGUGCAAUUAACUGAUCAGAAGGUUCUCAUUCAGUCUUCCAGAAUUAAAAGUGUGAUCUGCUUAGUGCAUGAUUGUUUGAGUGCGGGAUGUAGAAUGAAAGAGGGUGAAGUGAGUGUGCGUGUUGAGCAAGAGAUGAGAGAGGUGAAGAAGAAGUUUUGGAAACACAAGAAUAAUUGUGUGUUUUUUCUGAACAGAUUAAGUUUUGCCAACAAGAAAGACAAAUAUUUUGUCUAAAUAUCUCCUGUUUUUAUGCUCCACCAUGUAUAUGACCAGGACAAAUAUUUAUAUCAUUCAUUAAGAGUGGUUUAGAUAAAGAAAACAUAUGCAUAUUCGUAUUGACAUUGAACUAUUAUACAUAAAGAUUGCAUAAAGAUGAAGUAGUAAUUAGACUUAUUGUUGUAUCAAAAUUAUUGUGAAAUGGUAACAUACAUGUAUGACCAUUUUAUGAACAUUGUUUGUAUGUGUCUUGAAUAAUUCCUGCAAAUUUUUAAUAUAGGUGUGGGAAUUGGGUUUUUUUCUUUCAAUUUAAUGCAAUCCUUUGAAAAUAGUAAUUUACUUGUGUAUAUCGUAUUGAAUUUUAAAAAACAAAUCACUCAUAAAUUCAUAUAAUAUCUUCCUCUUCUUUUUAGAAUAUUGCAUAAUAUUUAUAUGAAUAUCGCACGAUUUUCACAUGAAUAACAGACAAAGUCGCAUGAAAAUCGCAUGAAUUUUGCAAAUACAAUUUUCCUCCUUUUCUUCUUACAUUUUGAUUAACAAUUUUUAAAUAGUAGUCUAGUCAAUGUACAGGAUGACCUCAAACUAAUGGCUACAAAAGCUGUUAUUGCUUUAAGGUGUAUUAGAAUAUAGUCUCAACAACAUAUAUAAAAAUAUACAAAAGAUUUUAUAUCAAUUGUCCAUAUCCAAUCCUGUAAUUUGAGUUUUAUAUAAUCUGAUACCAAUUGAUUUGAUAUAAUUAUUUUUAAAAAAAUCCAGAUUUCCACAAUUUUUCAAUGUAAACCCAAUAUUUGCCCCCAAAAUUCAAUUUUCCUGAAGUUAUAAUUUUGUAUUGUUUUAAUAUGUUACUUGUACAAAUAAAUACCUUUGUUUUUAUUGGUAAUUAGCUUUGUAGCAAUUAGUUUGAGGUUUGGCUUAAAUUUUGACAGAUUGACGAGACUAUAGGCCCAUAAUACUAACUUAAACUAAAGGAUUUAUAGAUAUAGUUUAUUCACCAAUCAAGGGCCCUCGGGGGGCAUGUACAUGUUCACAGGCAAUUAAUUAUAACAAUGAAAAUAAAUAACAAUCAUUUAGAAGUACUGCCGUUAAUACUGACAGAGUUCACACUUCUGCACUGCACAUAUCUAUAAUUAUAUGAAAUACUGAUUACAGACAAGAUUUAAAUUAACAACAUGAUAAAUAAAAUAACCCAACUGCUUCACACAUCAGUUUCUGGGAUAGCAGAUAAUGAUAGUGUUGUGUGAAUACAUAUAAAAUUGCAAUUGUAAUCAAAUCGGUAUAAUUAUAUUUCAGUAAGAACAGUAUGCAAGUAUAAAACACAUGUACAUGUCGGAUCAAUUGUACGAAGUGUUAAAGAAGGCGUGAAUUGUUUACUUGAUUACAGGGGGCACCAAGGGACAGUGCCUGUUAACAGUCUGGUAGUAAAUCUAUUGCACCAGACUGUUGGUCUUGUCCAGUGGCUAAUUUACUUAAAACACCUUAUUAAAAUGUUAUGAAAUUGAUUAUUGCCAAUGAAGUUCUCAUAAAGAUUAGCUCUACCAUGCCACUUGGAUUUUACACUAUUUGCAUAUUUAGUUUUAUUGUUAUGAUCAACUAUGAAUUUGUAAAAAUAAAAGUUGUACACAAAAUUAACAUGACCAAAUUUCCUUUACAGGAAAAUACGAUAUGUGUACCAAAUUGAUCCAUCAACUCCUGCAAGGAAAUUUGUUGGUUUUUGUGAAGUAAAAGAGUUUAUAUUUUCUCAAGAUUAAUGGAUGUUUUGAGAAGACUAAAACAUCUAUUGAUUAUACAUAUGUAGUAAACAGUUGUUACUAUUGCACACUGGUCAGCAUGGACAGGGUUAAAGGGACUGGUUCAUGAUUGUUGAAUAAAAUAUUUUUCAUUUUUGAUGUUAACCAUUAAAAAUAUAACUCAUUUAAUGUUGACAGCCAAAAUUUUGACCUUCUGAAUGCAAGAAUAAAAGAAAAAUUUUAGCCUUAGAUAUGUGUUAUGUAAACAAAGACUUGAAUCUUUUAAUGAAUACAAACAAACCAAUGAAAUAUUAAUUUUGUAAUACAUGUAUAAAGCAUCUUAAUUUUGCAUAGUCACAAAUUAUAACUUUUAGCUGACACAUUUUACCCAAAGAAUGCUUGAAAUGUGAAAGAUAUAAUAAACUUAGAUCAAUAUCCAUUUCUUUUGAAAAUUUCAUAAACAACAACAUACCACCAUCUUUGUUUACAAAAGAAAUAAUAAACUAUAAAAUGAGCUUAUUUGAUAAAUGUAUAACCUUAAUUUCUACGAAUUUAUAACGUGUCGUGUGAUUGGUCCGCGAAUAAUCCCGAGACCCUUCGGAUGAUCCCGAGACUAAGCAAUGUCUUUGCGAACCAAUCACACGGCGCGUACAACAAAUUCGUACUCUGUGACCUCCUUUUUGGCUGCCAGUGGAAGAGAUGAAGCCCUGUCCGAUCAAUGCAUGCAAGAUUGUGUCAAAUGAAAGAGAUGAGAUGGGUUUUGAGUUGAAGAGACUUGUAGUAUGACAUCUCCCCGACCUGCCGCUCGCCAAAAUCCCUUAGGUCAAGUUCUCGAUGGAUUCACCUUGUAUGGUCUUAUCAUCUCAAUGUGACUGUAAAGCUGGAAAUGGUCAUUGCAGCCAUUGUGUUGGACUGUUAUACCUAUUGUGUCAUUUCCAAAAGCUUGGUCUGAAAGCUGUUCCACCCAAGACAUCCCUGCCUCAGCACUGGAACAUUCCACAGAGGACUGAAAACAAGUUGACAACAUUGAAGUAUAUAAAGUGAAGCCGAAGACAAGUCAACCUAAGAGGAAAAGAAAAAUAACUGAAGGCAUUCUUCCCAAUGUGUAUUGCCCUGUAAAAAAAAACCAAUCCCGAGCAAUGAAUUGAAAGACACUUUAAUCAAGCAACUUACAGCAAUCGGUAGUGAUGCCCAAAUUUUAAAAGUUUUUGGCACUGAUGAAGAAAAUUGUGAAACUGUUCCCUCUCAAUUUGGUCCAGUGCCUGUUGGAUCUCCCCUUUCCUACCAGCAGAAGAUUUCUAAGUCAGAUGGUGACCUUAUUAUCAACAACCCUGAUCAACAGACUUUUCCUGAUUGUGAAUUACCCAACCUUAUUUCAGAAUAUAGUACUGUUCUGAACUAUGCAGAUUUUCAUGUAUCUAUGGGACUACAUAUUAAUCAUGAUUUUGUUAUAGAAUUAGAAAAGCAAACAAAUGAACAAAGUUAUAACAAGACAUGGCAUGAUGUCAGUAGAAAUCGCAUAACGUCUUCCAUAUUCAAAGAUAUUUGUAGUAGAAAAUCUGACUUUGAAAGCCUUGCUACAAGAAUACUACAGACCAAAAACAUUCAAACUGCUGCCAUGAAAUAUGGACUUGAACAUGAACCUGAAGCUGCAAAGUUGUACUCCGAAAUCACAAUGAAUAAUGUGUACAAGUGCGGUUUUGUACUUAAUCCAACUGUACCUCAUCUUGGGACGUCUCCUGACCGUAAAGUCCAUGACCCUACAAGCAUACCUCAGUUUGGCCUUCUUGAAAUUAAGUGUCCCGACAAGGAUUCAUUUGUAGAUUGUAAAUAUCUAGUGAAGAACAAAACUAAUGGAACAUACAAACUGAAAUCAAGUCACAGUUACUUUACCAAGUAAUGGGCCAAUGGCACUGACGGACUUAACAUGGUGCGAUUUCUUUGUCAAUUGCCGUCAGGACUAUCACAAGGAGAGAAUUCAUUUUGACAGUGAUAAAUGGGCUGACAUGAAAAUUUCUCUUGAUAAAUUUUAUUUCGAAUUUCUACUACCAGCAAUUUGUAAAAAUUGUCAAAAUUAAAAUAACUUCAAAAUUGAA